This 815-nucleotide ribosomal RNA is filed under the name uncultured Actinomyces sp. Its description in RNAcentral is "partial 16S ribosomal RNA". It matches the Rfam family "Bacterial small subunit ribosomal RNA", at positions 28 to 833 of the family's 1533-position model. Lineage: Bacteria; Bacillati; Actinomycetota; Actinomycetes; Actinomycetales; Actinomycetaceae. The record is from RNAcentral.
GACGAACGCUGGCGGCGUGCUUAACACAUGCAAGUCGAACGCUGAAGCCUGGCUUUUGUUGGGUGGAUGAGUGGCGAACGGGUGAGUAACACGUGAGUAACCUGCCCUCUUCUUUGGGAUAACGCCCGGAAACGGGUGCUAAUACUGGAUAUUCACUUGCCUUCGCAUGGGGGUGGGUGGAAAGGGUUUUUUCUGGUGGGGGAUGGGCUCGCGGCCUAUCAGCUUGUUGGUGGGGUGAUGGCUUACCAAGGCUUUGACGGGUAGCCGGCCUGAGAGGGUGACCGGUCACAUUGGGACUGAGAUACGGCCCAGACUCCUACGGGAGGCAGCAGUGGGGAAUAUUGCACAAUGGGCGCAAGCCUGAUGCAGCGACGCCGCGUGAGGGAUGGAGGCCUUCGGGUUGUGAACCUCUUUCGCUCAUGGUCAAGCCGCAACUCAUGGUUGUGGUGAGGGUAGUGGGUAAAGAAGCGCCGGCUAACUACGUGCCAGCAGCCGCGGUAAUACNUAGGGCGCGAGCGUUGUCCGGAAUUAUUGGGCGUAAAGGGCUUGUAGGCGGUUGGUCGCGUCUGCCGUGAAANUCCUCUGGCUUAACUGGGGGCGUGCGGUGGGUACGGGCUGGCUUGAGUGCGGUAGGGGAGACUGGAACNCCUGGUGUAGCGGUGGAAUGCGCANAUAUCNNNAGAACACCGGUGGCGAANNCGGGUCUCUGGGNCGUUACUGACNNUGAGNNCNAAAAGCGUGGGNNCNANCAGGAUUANANNACCCUGGUAGUCCNAGGNNNAUUUCCNCNNNGGANNNUNNNNCUUNANCNAUAC